RNAcentral lists this long non-coding RNA (1343 nucleotides) under Homo sapiens (human). RNAcentral describes it as "HSALNT0230427". Lineage: Eukaryota; Metazoa; Chordata; Mammalia; Primates; Hominidae. The record is from RNAcentral.
CUUGGAUCCACAGCCGCAGUUUGGGUGGCUGUAACCCUGCCCAGGAGGGCGGGGCGUUUGCCUGCUUCGUAGAGCAGGAGGUCUGGGUCUGCAGCCACGGUUUGGGCAGCUGCAGCGGCACCCAGGGAGCUACUGCCCCAGCUCAGAAGGGAUGGGGCUCCCACCGGCUCCAUGGAGUGUGCAGCCCACCGCUCUGCCUUCCUGCUGCCAUCAGUAUCUCCAGCAAUCCAAAUGGACUAAGACAGAAAUGUUAUAAUUUAAAGGAGACUGAAGAGACGUGAUGACUUAAUGUAACAUGUGACCCUCAAUCGGAUCCAGAAGAUAUGGAGGUGUGCCACCCAGAUACCCCUGCAACGGGCUGCCUCCUACCGAGAAUGUGGCCAGCAGACGGCCCCUGCUAUUUGCUCUUCGGGAUCUGCUUUGGCUGGAGAGCUGCCUUGCCCAAGACAACAUGGGACACCGAAUGACAGCUGACAGAAAACCAUAAUCGAUAAAUGGCUGAUGCCUAAAUAGUGAGAGGAACUAAGAUUAAUGAUCUGUUUCUUUGGUUGUCUUUAUAAUGGAACCAAGCAUUAAGGAACUUACUUUGUGUUUUGUCUAUAAAGAGUAGAAACUUUUUGCUCACAAGGCAUAACUAUCUCACAUUUUUCUCAUUAUAAAAGCAAUCUCAUGGUACUGGACAGGGGAGAAAAUAAAAUAAUCACUCAUAUUUCUAUUAUUCCAACAAUGCAUGUGAUUAAUUGGUGAGUUUCUUUUCACUCUUUCUGCACAUUAAAAAAACCUGUGUUUAAUUGUAAGAUAUACACAUCCUACUUUAGCUGUAACAUAUAAAAAUGUUUUUAUCUAUACUCUUAGCCAUACCUAUUCCCGGAUGUCCUAUUAUUUAUUUACACAAUAUCCUACUGUUCUACAUGGUUGCUUUAUUUCACCUCUUAACAAUACCUGCAUUUUCAGACAGGCAGACGUCAACUGUACUAUCAAAGGAAGCUCUAUUAGCAUCCCCCAUUCAAAUUUUAUAGCUAAAUGGUUCUAAGUUAUUUCCUAAACACUCUUGACCCAUUCUUGUUUGGCGAUUUCUCUUACAUUGUGAAUUUAGAUUUUAAGCAUUAAUCUCCAGAAGAGCCUAAUGAAGUAGGUAUCAUGUUUUUUUGUGGGCAGAGAUGAAUCUGUUAUUCGGUGGCAAGGAUUAAACCCAGGUUGGUCUGACUCUAAAUGUGCGUCCUUCUCAUUCCAUGAAGCGCUUUACAUACUCACACAGUGUUCCCUGUUUGGGCUCUAGUUUCUCAUAUGUGACUCUAUCAUUAAAAUAAAAUUUGAGUGAGUGAAUAAAGAUUACCUUUGAA